UGGAUGCAUAGUAAAAUGGUGGAGAUCUGCGCGUCAUCUUAAGAAUUAAGAAAAGCGUGUAGGAGUAGGUCAAUAACAGCAAAAAUUUGACAAGUUUAGUUGCACUGGUGUUUAUAAGAUGGCGCCUAAGUAGAAAGAUUGUCAACGUGGAAUCGGAGAGAGAUUUAUAAGAGCGUCUAGUCGUAAGGUACAUUAAGUGAUAAUGUGAUAUGAUAUAAGAAGAGAGCAUAUGCUGCCAACCAUGUACGGAUAACAGUGUAAAAGGGAAAAAUGAUUUCCCUAUCACUUCAAUAAAUCUAACCUAAACCUAAACCUAAA
This is a long non-coding RNA of Megalopta genalis, 318 nucleotides long. RefSeq lists it as uncharacterized. NCBI's taxonomy places the organism in Eukaryota, Metazoa, Arthropoda, Insecta, Hymenoptera, Halictidae. The record is from RefSeq and is a predicted model, not a curated record.